RNAcentral lists this ribosomal RNA (474 nucleotides) under uncultured bacterium. Its description in RNAcentral is "partial 16S ribosomal RNA". It matches the Rfam family "Bacterial small subunit ribosomal RNA", at positions 34 to 540 of the family's 1533-position model. The record is from RNAcentral.
AACGAACGCUGGCGGCAUGCCUAACACAUGCAAGUCGAACGAGACCUUCGGGUCUAGUGGCGCACGGGUGCGUAACGCGUGGGAACCUGCCCUUAGGUUCGGAAUAACUCCCCGAAAGGGGUGCUAAUACCGGAUAAUGUCUUCGGACCAAAGAUUUAUCGCCUUUGGAUGGGCCCGCGUUGGAUUAGCUAGUUGGUAGGGUAAAAGCCUACCAAGGCGACGAUCCAUAGCUGGUCUGAGAGGAUGAUCAGCCACACUGGGACUGAGACACGGCCCAGACUGAGGGGGGGGGGGGGGGUGGGGAUGAUGGCAGCAGGGGGGAAGGCAUGAGCAAGGGAUGCGGGGUGAGUGAGGAAGGCAUUAGGGUUGUAGAUUUCUUUCACCGGGGAGGAUAAUGACGGAAGCGGGAGAAGAAGCUCCGGCUAACGCCGUCCCAGCGGCCGCGGUAAUAGUCGGAGGAGCACACGGCUGACC